Molecule: ribosomal RNA, 119 nt
Filed under: Lepisosteus oculatus (spotted gar)
Lineage: Eukaryota; Metazoa; Chordata; Actinopteri; Semionotiformes; Lepisosteidae
Source: RNAcentral
GCCAGCAGCCAUAUCACCCUGCAACUCACAACUCGCAGCCCACUGAAGCUAAGUAGGUGUGAUGCCUGGUCAGUACCUGGAUGGGAGACCUCCUGGGAAAAACUAAGUUGCUGCUGGAA